UACAGAGGGGGCAAGCGUUGUUCGGAAUUACUGGGCGUAAAGGGCGCGUAGGCGGCCCGCUAAGUCGAACGUGAAAUCCCUGGGCUCAACCCAGGAACUGCGUCCGAUACUGGCAGGCUUGAAUCCGGGAGAGGGAUGUGGAAUUCCAGGUGUAGCGGUGAAGUGCGUAGAUAUCUGGAGGAACACCGGUGGCGAAGGCGGGUCA
RNAcentral lists this ribosomal RNA (205 nucleotides) under uncultured bacterium. RNAcentral describes it as "partial 16S ribosomal RNA". It matches the Rfam family "Bacterial small subunit ribosomal RNA", at positions 524 to 729 of the family's 1533-position model. The record is from RNAcentral.